UCCAUAGGGUUAGAUAGAAUAGGCAGAGGCGGGGCUUUGAUAGAGUUACUGGCGGGUCUCUAAUUCGCUUGGUGCAGGUCGGGAACUGCUUCGGUUUAUAGAAUACCAGAGCCAGGUGGCGCGACGCCGCUGGCUGGCUGCGAUUUCCAGCGGAGCGGGUCCCGCCUUGCAUCAACUGAAUCGGAGACCGCGGUAAAAAAAAAGAGAGAAGGAAACCAGGCCGCGUCAGAGAUCUCGCCGUUUUGCUCUGCUCGUUCAUCAGAUCUCACCUCAGGUAUUCCCUGCCAGCCCAUGGGUCUUCACCUUUUUGCAGUGUGUGUAUGGAGAUAGAUCAGAUAGUAGCCUUUUGUGGAAAUCUGAGAAAAGCAGAGAAUCUUUCAAAACAAAGACUGUUGAGUGAUGAUAAGAAAAGAGGAAAAAAGGGCUUUAGGGUGUGUAACAUUUACCAAAAGGGGAUAAAAGUCUUGAAGGUGAGCCUCCUAAAGUCAAAGAUUGCCAGAAAAGUAUGUUCACAUUUUGUUUUGUUUUGUUUAUCCUUUUAUUUUAUUAUUAUUAUUAUUAUUAUUUUUUGGGAUUGAAUUUGUCUGUUCCCUUUGUGUGUGUUCAUUAUUAUUUCCCAAUACAGUUGUGUGUUUAAAAUGAUAAUCCUCAUAAGCCAAUUUCGUUCAUAUCAACACAACUACAAAAGCAGAAGUUUAGGUUAAAAGGAGAUCCACACAACAACUUCAAGGCAGUUACAAUAGAAGCCUAAGAGACGCUUUGUGAUCCGAAACACAUAGAUGGAGAGUGCAUGUUUAUAUUCAUUGUUGCUUUCCCUUUAUACCUUGUAUAUGUACGAUGUGUCACGAGUCGUGACCCCUUGCCAUGGAAAAUAUUAAUAACAAUGAAAAGAUAGAAAUUGAUGAAGCUAAAA
This is a long non-coding RNA of Rosa rugosa (rugosa rose), 913 nucleotides long. RefSeq lists it as uncharacterized. The record is from RefSeq and is a predicted model, not a curated record. Lineage: Eukaryota; Viridiplantae; Streptophyta; Magnoliopsida; Rosales; Rosaceae. The transcript has 2 exons.